RNA transcript from Bradysia coprophila, 1961 nucleotides. RefSeq lists it as uncharacterized. The record is from RefSeq and is a predicted model, not a curated record. NCBI's taxonomy places the organism in Eukaryota, Metazoa, Arthropoda, Insecta, Diptera, Sciaridae.
UAGCUCGUUGUUGUGUGAUUUUAUUUCUGAAAAAGGGUGUGUAUGAAACAGCGCGAUCUGAAACAUCGAACAAUUUAUUCCAGCGAAAGUAUAACUAAAGAUCAUCCGGUCACUCGAACUAUGGGAGCUGUUUACCUCUUGCUGGUGAAAACACCUUUUAAAGCAUCAUUCUAAAGGUUUAUGCAAAUUUAAGAUGUUCAAUAAACGACGAAUAAGGAAAAUGAACGAUAUGAAGAUGAAGAAGAUAAGACUGAGAGCUGCUGAUGUACAACUGACUUCUGCUGCUAUAAAUGAGGAAAAAGAAAAGUCGAUCGGAAAACGUAUUGAUCAGUCAAAACGGCCAGAGAUUGAGCAUAAGCAAGGACAAAAAGUGGCUGGCCAAAAGCAGCCGCAAGCCAGUAAUGAAAAAUUACCCAAAAUCAAAACCGACCACCUGACGCUUUGCCAAAACAUCUUUGAUUACUAUGCGUUCUUAGGAUUGUUCUUCGGCAUCGUAUGUCGGUACGAUUGGAAUAGGUACAGACACUGUUUCUUCUGGUUCACAAAUUUUCUGCUGAUUGCGGCUAAUUUUUGUAUCGGAUACACUGCCUACAUUUACUAUCAACAUGAUAUGACCAUUAAAAUCUUAGAACCGUUUGCAGUGUCUGGCGUUGCUAUUACGUGCACCUUGAAGUGGGGAGUCUUUCUGAAGUACACAAACAACUUGCUCGCAAUAAUGUUUGCAGUGAAGAAAAUUUGCGAAGAAACGACAACCGGCGACAGAGUGGAUGUCAUCAUUGCAAGCUUGAAAAAAACCUACUCAUUACUACGUGCCCUUGCUGCAGCACUUACCGUGGUGAUGCUGUUCUUCGUGUCCAUUCCAUUAAAGUUUUUCUUCGUCGAUGAUAUCUAUUAUCCACUAUUGCCAAUUGUGGUUCCGUUUUUCCAACAAGACACGUUGAAAGGCUACUUAUGCACGACUUUUUUCCAGUCGGUUUUGGGUGUCUACAGCGGUAUCUCAACUCUUAUGUACGUAAAACUGUGUGCCGCCGGUACACGGUUCUAUCAAAAAUCCCUGACCUACAGGAAACGUCAGUGAAAUUUAGACAUAAAUUUGCUAGUGUACCAGUUGAAAAACAGCUGAAGCAACAUCAUGUCUAAAUUUCUCUGGUUGUUUUAUCGGAUAGGGAAUUUCAAUGAAAAUAGAUUCGGCACCUCAUUUCUUGUCGUCAUAUGCAAUUACGGUCUGCUGGUUAACUUAAUCGAGCUGGACUUUAAGGACUUGAACGAUAUUUGGAGUCCCUACAGUAAAACGCCCAUUGCGGUUAGGCAUGCCUGCCUAAAUAAUAUCGCUGCUAAGCUGCGGGACAUGCAAAUAUACCUACGGGAAGUGAGGCAAAUUUAUGAGACAAAAUUUUUCGUAUACUUUCUGGUCAGUCAUAUUGGUCAGGUUAUGAGUCUAUACCAAAUCACAGAGAAAGGCUGGAUACCUGGUUACACGUCUCUUUUCACCAUCUUUGCUGAAAUGAUGUUUUACUGCAUGGUCGGAUCACAAACAAUCGCACUGGGUGAUAAAUUGUGUUACUUCAUCCAACAAACCGAUUGGUAUGCAUACGACUUACGGUCUCAGAAAACAAUUCGGCUGAUCUUACAACAGUGUCAGCUGCCUUGCCGGAUAUCACUUAAAUUUCUAGGAACAUUAAAUAUGGCCACUGGAAUGAGGGUUCUUAAGGGCAUCUACUUUUAUUACACCGUUAUGACAGACGUUAUGACGGAAAAAUAAAACAAAAUACCUGCAAGGAGCAAUGAAAACUUAUAAGUCAGAGACAGACGCUACAAAUUAUCAUCGUCAAAAAGGACAAUCCACAACGGACGUCUUCAAGAAGGCAACGGCUAAGGUGACUCGCCAUUUUAUAGGUGCCAAGGAAAAGGUAAUCCUGUGUACGAUGGGAGCAAUUUCAGAAUAUAAUGAUUGUUUGAAA